UACGAAGGGGGCUAGCGUUGCUCGGAAUUACUGGGCGUAAAGGGCGUGUAGGCGGGUAGAUAAGUCGGGCGUGAAAUCCCUAGGCUCAACCUAGGAACUGCACUCGAAACUGUUUAUCUUGAGUGCCGGAGAGGAAAGCGGAAUUCCUGGUGUAGAGGUGAAAUUCGUAGAUAUCAGGAGGAACACCAGUGGCGAAGGCGGCUUUCUGGACGGUAACUGACGCUGAGACGCGAAAGCGUGGGGGAGCAAACAGG
This 254-nucleotide ribosomal RNA is filed under the name uncultured bacterium. RNAcentral describes it as "partial 16S ribosomal RNA". It matches the Rfam family "Bacterial small subunit ribosomal RNA", at positions 524 to 776 of the family's 1533-position model. The record is from RNAcentral.